UACGUAGGUGGCAAGCGUUGUCCGGAAUUAUUGGGCGUAAAGCGCGCGCAGGUGGUUUCUUAAGUCUGAUGUGAAAGCCCACGGCUCAACCGUGGAGGGUCAUUGGAAACUGGGGAACUUGAGUGCAGGAGAGAAGAGUGGAAUUCCUGGUGUAGCGGUGAAAUGCGUAGAUAUCAGGAGGAAUACCGGUGGCGAAAGCGACUCUCUGGACGGCAACUGACGCUGAGGCACGAAAGCGUGGGGAGCAAACAGG
This 253-nucleotide ribosomal RNA is filed under the name uncultured bacterium. Its description in RNAcentral is "partial 16S ribosomal RNA". It matches the Rfam family "Bacterial small subunit ribosomal RNA", at positions 524 to 776 of the family's 1533-position model. The record is from RNAcentral.